UACGUAGGCAGCGAGCGUUGUUCGGAGUUACUGGGCGUAAAGGGUGUGUAGGCGGUUCUUUAAGUUUAGUGUGAAAUCUCCCGGCUCAACCGGGAGGGUGCGCUGAAUACUGAGGGACUAGAGUACGGGAGAGGAAAGUGGAAUUUCUGGUGUAGCGGUGAAAUGCGUAGAUAUCAGGAGGAACACCGGUGGUGUAGACGGCUUUCUGGACCGUAACUGACGCUGAGACACGAAAGCGUGGGUAGCAAACAGG
Molecule: ribosomal RNA, 253 nt
Filed under: uncultured bacterium
Lineage: Bacteria
Description: partial 16S ribosomal RNA
Rfam family: Bacterial small subunit ribosomal RNA
Source: RNAcentral